Molecule: ribosomal RNA, 349 nt
Filed under: uncultured bacterium
Lineage: Bacteria
Description: partial 16S ribosomal RNA
Rfam family: Bacterial small subunit ribosomal RNA
Source: RNAcentral
CCUACGGGUGGCAGCAGUAGGGAAUAUUCGGCAAUGGGGGGAACCCUGACCGAGCAACGCCGCGUGAACGAAGAAGGUCUUCGUAAUGUUAAGUUCUUUUAACAGGGAAGAAAGAGAAAUUUGACGGUACCUGACGAAUAGGCUCCGGCUAACUACGUGCCAGCUGCCGCGGUAAUACGUAGGGAGCGAGCGGUAUCGGGAAUUAUUGGGCGGAAAGGGUGCGUAGAUGGCAUAGGAAGUCUGUGGUAAAAAUGCUGGGCUCAACCCAGUAGGGCAAAAGAUACUGCAAAGCUAGAGUAUGAGAGAAGCAAGUGGAACUAGAUGUGUAGCGGUGAAAUGCGUAAAUAUA